CAGCCGUAAACUAUGCGCGUUAGGUGUAUCGGUGACCACGAGUUACCGAGGUGCCGAAGGGAAACCGUGAAACGUGCCGCCUGGGAAGUACGGUCGCAAGGCUGAAACUUAAAGGAAUUGGCGGGGGAGCACCACAACAGGUGGAGCCUGCGGUUUAAUUGGAUUCAACACCGUAAAACUCACCAGGGAAGACUGUUACAUGAAGGCCGAGAUGAAGACUCUGCUAGAUUUUCAGAGAGGUGGUGCAUGGCGUCAGUGACU
Molecule: ribosomal RNA, 261 nt
Filed under: uncultured archaeon
Lineage: Archaea
Description: partial 16S ribosomal RNA
Rfam family: Archaeal small subunit ribosomal RNA
Source: RNAcentral